UCCUGAAGAAGCACGAGGCCCUGAUGUCGGACCUGUCGGCUUACGGCAGCAGCAUCCAGGCCCUGAAGGAGCAGGCCCAGUCCUGCAGGGUGAGUUCAGAACCCUCGGCCCGUCAGAACAUUCUUAUCCACCACGUUCUAACACCAGACCUGUUAACCCGACAGCAACAAGGUAAUCAGCAGGUGCUUUUGUCCUGCAGGACCUGAAGGCCAACGAGUCCCGCCUGAGGGACAUCAACAAGGUGGCAUCUGAACUGGAGUCAGAAGGUCUGAUGGCUGAGGAGGCUCCUAUGGUUCAGGCUCAGCAACAAGAACAUCUGGGUUCUGCUCCUGGAAAGGUGCAUGUUGUCCUCCGCCUCCACCAGAACCAGACGUGGUGUUUUUGUUACCACUCAUUUGUUUGUUUGUUUACAGGAUGAAGCCGACUCUAACACGGCGUCACCCUGGAAGGUGAGUUCAUUCAGCUGAUCAGAGGUCACCUCUGAUGGCCGCAGUCACGGCCGACCGUGCUGACAUCACACAGGAAUUCAGGUGACCCGGCAGGCAUCAGGUGCUGGUGAAAGUGGGGACAUGUCAGCUGGUUGCCAUGGCUACAAUUAUCUUUAUGCAUCUGUAUGACUGCUGACUGGUGUGUGUUUCCUGCGACCUUUGACCUCAGACCGUACGGUUGGGCGUUCAGACGACGGCUAACUUUAAUUCCAUCAAGGUAAGAGGAAGCUCUUCCCUUCCUGUCUGAGUGAUCCGUCUCCAGGUUUCCUCGUCCGGCGUCCAGCCCGCUGGCGUCCACCUUCAUCUCAUCUCACUUCAUUUAUAGUGCAAUACUUUCACAUUAUCAUUUUCCCACACUUCUGUAUACCUGUAUUUUGUUGUUUUUCAAUAAAGAAUGACAAAUUA
Non-coding RNA from Nothobranchius furzeri (turquoise killifish), 893 nucleotides. The record is from RefSeq and is a predicted model, not a curated record. NCBI's taxonomy places the organism in Eukaryota, Metazoa, Chordata, Actinopteri, Cyprinodontiformes, Nothobranchiidae.